This is a long non-coding RNA of Manis javanica (Malayan pangolin), 5228 nucleotides long. RefSeq lists it as uncharacterized. NCBI's taxonomy places the organism in Eukaryota, Metazoa, Chordata, Mammalia, Pholidota, Manidae. The record is from RefSeq and is a predicted model, not a curated record.
ACAGCUGCCCUUUGAGCUACUGGGAGGGAACAUCGCCAAAGGAGGGUCAGUGAAUGGGAGGUCUCCACGUGCGAGACCCAAGUGGUAGCCAAGAUGGUGGCCCCAGGCACACAUGGGACCCUCCUGCGGACUCCUCAGGCAGUUUGUGGGAAUUUGAAGGUGCUGGGAUUCUGCAGAACAGAAGAGAUGAGCACGCAGACACACCCAGGGAGGAGGCGGCAUCUACAAGCCAAGGAGGGAGGCAGCAGAGGAAACCCACCCAGCUGACAUCUUGAUCCGGGACUUCUGGUUUCCAAGACGGUUCCUACACUGAGGGAAAAUUUUGUCCAAUUUGGGUACAAUUCUGGUAAGAAUAAAAUUCCAAUCUAGAAGUGGGAAACUGUUCAAAUUUUGUAUCUAUAGCAAUAACCAGUUUUAUGAGGCCUCCCCUAGACCUUCUUCCUAACCCUUCCAUACAACCAGGCUUUGUUUUUCUGGCAUAGAAAAUCGGAAAAACAAUUCUCCGGCACUUUUCUCCUGAACUCCUACUUUGCCAAGCUCUACAAAUGAAACCACACGUUUUUAUUUCCUCUCCUGGUCUAUCACAAGAUGUUUUGAUUUUCACUCUUGGGGUUGUUCUCCAGAUCUUGUUAUGAAAGACCUGGGGAUGGUUAAUUUGAUGUGCCAACUUCACGAGGCGGAGGAAGGCCCGGGAGAACUGGUAAACAUUAUUUCUGGGUGUGUCUGCGAGGGUGUUUCCCGAAAACAUUAACAUUUGAAUUGGUAGACUUAGCAAAGACGGCACUUGUCAGUGUGAGUGGCCAUCAUCCAACCCGCUUGAGGGCUCGGAGAGAACUAGGUGGUGCUCUCUUUGCCUGAGCUGAGGCUUCCAUCCGCUCCUGCUCUCAGACCUCGGGGCCCCGGUUCUCCCAGAGCGUGGGCCUCCCGAAUCUCAGGCCUUUGGACUCCGACUGAAGCCAAGACUACACACCACUGGCUUUCCUGGGUCUCCAGCUUGAAGACUGCACAUCAAGGGACUUCCCUACCUGCAUGAUUGCAUGAGCUAGUUCCUUUAACGAAUGUUCUCUUAUUUGUGUCCAUGUAUAUUUCCUAUUGGUUCUGUUUCUCUGGAGAACCAGUACAGACUUCUUCACAUAUCAGCUAGUGAAUGUAUAAGCCUGACUUAGGUUGUGUCUAUUUUUGGGAAAGGCAAAAACACGGCACCACCAGGAGGUAGGGUUUUAAUGAUUUAAAAAGGGCUUGUGAUAGAAUACGAGUCUACUAUUUACUAUCUUGCAUAAGCUACUUAAACUUUCUAAGCCUCUCCUUCCUCUAAAAUGAGAAAACAAUUACUUAACUGAGAUCAUAUAAUUUAAUGAGAUGGUUUAUGUAAAAAUAUUCAGCAACAUAAGUAUAAAAUACUCAAAGAACUAUAAUAAAGCAAUCUAUCGUUAUUAACUAUUGCAAUUGUGCUUUGAUUGGGAGGCAGGAAAAGGAAAGAGAAGGAAGGGUUAAGGGCUUGGGUAUGGUCUUGCACUACAUGGAGGAGGGACGGGGUGCAGGAGAGAGAAAUUUAGAGUGGUGGUUGUAGAGAGCCACAAAUUGCUCUAGUAUCAUCUCUCAAAGGGCCAACUCUGGCUAAUGCAUUCUACAAGAACAUUAUACCUGUUCCCCACCAAAUUCCUGGGGGAUUCAGAAGCUUUUAAUAUACUUUGUCCCAUAAAGUAUUGUAGGCAGAAUAGUGGCUCACCAAAGUUGUCUGUGUCUUAAUUUCUAGAGUAUGUAAGUAUGUUACCUUACAUGGCAAAAGGGACAUUGCAGAUGUAAUAAGGACUAUGUACCUUGUCAUAGGGAAAUUAUCCUAGUUUAUCUAAGAUCCAUCUAUCCAUAUAAGCCCUCAACAGUGGAAAAGGAAGGCAGAAGAGUCAGUCAGAUAGAUGUGGCAGAAAGAGAGAGGCGAGGGUCAGUGCCUGGAGGUACUCACCCCCCUACAGCUGGCUUCGAAGAAGAGGAAGGGGGCCAUGAGCCAAGGAUGCAGAGAACCUCUAGAACCCAGGUAAGGCCCCCAGCUGACAAUCAGCAAGGCAAUGGGGACUGAGUUCUGCAGUAAUGCACAUGAUGGAACCCACUUGUCCUCUAGAUUCUCCAGAGAGAAAUGCUGCCCUGCCAAUAACGGGGUUUUAGCCCCGUGAAAUCCAUGCUGGACUUUUGACAUGGAGAAUUGUAAGAUAGUAAACUUGUGUCAUUUAAGCCACUAAAGUAGAGGUAAUUUGUUUUGGCAGUAAUAUAAAACUAAUACACGGAGGUAAGGAUAAAAGCUUUAUUUGAUGUCAUCCAUCCAUUCAUUGGUUCAUUUAUUCAUUUUUCAAACAUUCAUCGAGCAGCUAUAGUGAACCAGGCACUGAGCCAGUUGCUGAUAAUAAAAGCGUGAGUAAGAUCGCAACAAGUGUGAGUAAGGUCCUUCCACUUACCAGAAAAAGCUUUCCAACUCCCUAAACAACUUGUUCUGCCUUAAUUCUCUGAACUAUUUAACCUCCUCUCCUGCCUACGAUUUCAAAACACUUAGUCACAGUGGCGGGGGUGUGUGUGGUGUUUUGCAAACUCAUUGGCAUGGAUGUAGCAUUGGAAAGUUAAAGAAAAACAAAAGGCUUUUCCCCUCUCGGUCUAUGUCCAGUGAGAUCAUGGCUUUGCUGCCCUUCAAUAUGCAGCUUUGGUCACUCAGUAAACAACGAUAUCGCACUGCAGCUGCUCAGUGACACCGUGACGUCCUCCUUGCUCAGAAAAGCACUCUCUAUACGACUGCCUAGGCCAGGGCUUCCAAAUCUUGGUGUGCCUAAGAAUCACUGGGAAGGCUUAUUAAAACACAGGCUCCUGGGCCUCAGCCCCAGAGAUUCUGAUUCAGUAGGUCUGGGCUGGGACCUGAGAAUCUGAGUUUCUAACAAGCUCCCAAAUGAUGCUUUCUGUUCACAGGCCAUACUUUGAGUGUCUUUGUUGGGUCGCUCCUUAUUUAUUUGUAGAGUUGAUGGAACCAGGAUAGGCAGAAGUGGACAAACCCCAAGAACACGUAGCAUAUCGGCUAGUUGGUGCCAUGCUUUCGAAUACCUGAGCCCUGAGAGUUCUCCACCCUGAUCCCUCCCAUUUUCUUCCCAGACGGGACUUCCCUGCCCUCCUAGGGUGACCUGGGAUGCUCUGCAAUUGGCACAAUCUCAGACCACUAAGAAGUAAGGGAGAAGAGGGGAGAGUGAGUGGUGUUUCCCUAGCCCAGAGUCCAGACAAAGGGGCCUGAUGACCUUGCCUUCAUAAACAGCAUCCUUAUUGAUAAUGUAAAAAGACAAAACAAAACAGUGAACUUACACAACUCGGUAUGAGGACAGGUCAUGUGUCCCACUGAAAGGCAAGCAAGGUGAUCACACAAGGUGCUCUGUGGACACAGAGAGUGUCACAUGCCAUUGCAGUAUCUCCCCGUCCCCAGCCUCUGUUAACAUCCUCUCACCAAAUUCUGCUGCCCUUUAUUUUCCAUGAGCUUUUUAAAGUCAGAGGGCACACUAGAAUGUACUGACACAGACACCUGAGUACAUGUACAGUGAAUCCAGGCAAUCUUGAACUUCUAAACUGAGUUCUUGCAUAUGUCACAUCACUUUGAUUGGCUGUAUAGAUUCUCGUUCUUCUUUUUAAGAUUCAGAAAGAUAAAAUGAGGCUUUGGGGCUUUGGUCUAUUAUUGGGAAAAAUUCUAAAAGCAAUUGAAAUACUAAAGCAUCUUCUCCAUCGUUUGAAAAAGCAGAAGUGUCAUAAAUGUCAGGACUUUGUCAAAUACUGUUUGCUUCAUUGAAAGGAAAUAGAUCACCUUGUUGUAGAAAUUGGUUUUUUUGCUUAGGUCCUCUUUCUAAACAAAAGAUAUUUCUAGACCUUCAGAAGAUAGUUUACCUCCAGAUGCUUGUAGCAAUGUCAUUUCCUUCAUGCUAGGUCUCUGAAAAAUGAAAAAGACUUGAUGUAUGAACUUUUACAUAUCUAUAAAUCUCUUUUCUUUUAACAAGGGUAAAAGACCAUUAUUGCUUUUAUUUGGCAAAUGAUUGUUUAGUUUUGUUUAGCUCUAAUGCAGGGAUUCCUAACUUGUUUUCUGCCAUGAGCCUCUCUGGAUAUCUGUUGAUGCCUACAGACCCCUUUGAAGAAUUUUGUUUCGAGAGCAUUAAAAACACCACAUAUAGGUCUACAAAUAAAAACAAUAAUCUAUAAUUGCAGUUACCUAAAUAUUAAGUCAAAUUUGUGAUAUGGUAAUACAUGCACUUCUUAUUGAUGCAUUAAUUAUGGUCUAGCAGCCAGGCUACUACCUACAAUAAUUUUGAAGUAGUGAUACACAAGAACAGUAUUUCAGGUAUCUGUAACAAUUUUGAUUGGUAUGAAUGAAUAUAUCUGUAAUUUCCACUGGAAAUAAAGACACAGUUGUUUACUACUAUGGCUUGUUGUCUACAUUCUUAAAUGAAGGAAAUUUAUAAAUUUCAGAUAGAGGUUAGUGCAAAUAAAGAUACAAUUAGUCUCUUCCAGGUCCACAGGCUCUGUGAAUUCCAUCCGUAGACAUCCUUGAGGAUCGGUGGGCCACAAUUUGACAAAAUCUGCCUGAAGCACCCUCACUUCAAUGUCUUCCUUCCCUCUGAGCUUCGUUUCAUGAACUGUGAAUUUUAAUGAGCUCAAGAAAAGGAUUUCUGUGCAUCAGCCACCCUGUAACAAGUGGAUGUCAUCGUCCUUCCGUGGGGAACACUUCUAGGCUCCCUAUGAAAUUCCAGAAACUAUAAUGAUGAGUCUCUGACCCUCAGGGAGUUUGAAUUAUUCAGGAACAUACUGAUUCAUUGUCUUUGAAACUUUUCUAAACAACACUGAAGUAUAUCUACUAAAUACAAAAAAAAAAAGUUUAUUCUCCCUCCCCUCGUCCACUCCCUUGCCGAGAUGGAAAUCACUGUUGCCAAUGCAUUUAUGUAUGAUGUAUACCUCUUAAUUCUCUGACCUUCAUAUGUCAGUGGGAACAUGGAUAUAUUAUCAUACUUAGCAGUAACUGGGAAAAAAGAAAGUACUCAACUUAUUUCAGCAAGUUUGAUAUCUUCUGGUUGAAGCCCCCAAAGAUUAGCAAUAUUUUCUCUCACAUGCAAAAAAUCUCAGGAAAGUUCGCUCAGACCCAUGGGUCAGAUGCCAACUUUUGGUCCAGUCACUUGACAGGGAUGCAUGUAGAGUUGUUACCUGGCUGUUUCUACAGCAAC